GCUUACGGCCAUACCACCUUAGGCACGCCCGAUCUAGUCUGAUCUCAGAAGGUAAGCAGGGUCGGGCCUGGUUAGUACUUGGAUGGGUGACCGCCUGGGAAUACCAGGUGCUGUAAGCA
Molecule: ribosomal RNA, 119 nt
Organism: Gadus morhua (Atlantic cod)
Lineage: Eukaryota; Metazoa; Chordata; Actinopteri; Gadiformes; Gadidae
Source: Ensembl